AAAGUAAUAUGUAUUCUCUCGAAUAUACAUUAUAAACCCAUCUGUGUAUCUUACCCGUUGCUUCCGCGAGGCAGUGAUCUCGGUCACCUCCGAACGACGGCGAAAGCUGUCCGACGGGGAGCACUCGCGGGAGGUAUACAUCAAACUCUUGCAUUUUUAUGUCAUCUGUCUGAACUGUUUACAACAAAUGUUA
RNAcentral lists this unclassified non-coding RNA (193 nucleotides) under uncultured Scutellinia. RNAcentral describes it as "sequence contains ITS1". Lineage: Eukaryota; Fungi; Ascomycota; Pezizomycetes; Pezizales; Pyronemataceae. The record is from RNAcentral.